AAGUCGUAACAAGGUUUCCGUAGGUGAACCUGCGGAAGGAUCAUUACAAAUCUUGAGUUGGUCCCCCCAGUAAUGGUGGGGGCUGACACAUUAGCACAAGGCCGCAAGGUCUUGAUGUUUACGCUUGUAUGUUUGACAGAGUUUAAAUUGUGACCUUAAAAAUGACAACUUUUAACAACGGAUCUCUUGGCUCUU
RNAcentral lists this unclassified non-coding RNA (195 nucleotides) under fungal sp. RNAcentral's name for it is "partial internal transcribed spacer region". The stretch from base 1 to 46 matches the Rfam family "Eukaryotic small subunit ribosomal RNA", at positions 1786 to 1831 of the family's 1831-position model. Lineage: Eukaryota; Fungi. The record is from RNAcentral.